UACGUAGGCAGCGAGCGUUGUUCGGAGUUACUGGGCGUAAAGAGUGCGUAGGCGGUUUUCUAAGUUUGGUGUGAAAUCCCUCAGCUUAACUGGGGAACUGCGUCUGAUACUGGAUGGCUCGAGUGUGGGAGAGGAAUGCGGAAUUCCAGGUGUAGCGGUGAAAUGCGUAGAUAUCUGGAGGAACACCGGUGGCGAAGGCGGCAUUCUGGACCAUAACUGACACUGAGAGACGAAAGCCAGGGGAGCAAACGGG
RNAcentral lists this ribosomal RNA (253 nucleotides) under uncultured bacterium. Its description in RNAcentral is "partial 16S ribosomal RNA". It matches the Rfam family "Bacterial small subunit ribosomal RNA", at positions 524 to 776 of the family's 1533-position model. The record is from RNAcentral.